RNAcentral lists this transfer RNA (67 nucleotides) under Glyptothorax minimaculatus. RNAcentral's name for it is "tRNA-Cys". It matches the Rfam family "tRNA". Rfam says of the family: Transfer RNA (tRNA) molecules are approximately 80 nucleotides in length. Their secondary structure includes four short double-helical elements and three loops (D, anti-codon, and T loops). Further hydrogen bonds mediate the characteristic L-shaped molecular structure. tRNAs have two regions of fundamental functional importance: the anti-codon, which is responsible for specific mRNA codon recognition, and the 3' end, to which the tRNAs corresponding amino acid is attached (by aminoacyl-tRNA synthetases). tRNAs cope with the degeneracy of the genetic code in two manners: having more than one tRNA (with a specific anti-codon) for a particular amino acid; and 'wobble' base-pairing, i.e. permitting non-standard base-pairing at the 3rd anti-codon position. Lineage: Eukaryota; Metazoa; Chordata; Actinopteri; Siluriformes; Sisoridae. The record is from RNAcentral.
AGUCCCGUGGUGUAUAACAUUUUGGAUUGCAAAUCCGAAGAAGCAGGCUAAUGACCCGCCGGGGCUU